Small nucleolar RNA from Adelges cooleyi (spruce gall adelgid), 205 nucleotides. RefSeq annotates it as small nucleolar RNA U3. NCBI's taxonomy places the organism in Eukaryota, Metazoa, Arthropoda, Insecta, Hemiptera, Adelgidae. The transcript has a single exon. The record is from RefSeq and is a predicted model, not a curated record.
AAGAUCAUACUUCACAGGAUCAUUUCUGUAGUAUGCACCGUCCCCUCCAGGUGCAAAUCUGGAGUGGUCGUCAGCCGCGGUGAUGAGACUAGUUCAUUCGCUUGAGCGUGGACUGCCUGAUGGUUUGCCACGUUGUGAUAAUAAUCAUUCAAUUACGAUGAUCGCUCACAAUUUCACCGGUUGGUGAGUGAACAGUCUGAGUGGU